RNAcentral lists this ribosomal RNA (422 nucleotides) under uncultured bacterium. RNAcentral describes it as "bacterial SSU rRNA". It matches the Rfam family "Bacterial small subunit ribosomal RNA", at positions 355 to 774 of the family's 1533-position model. The record is from RNAcentral.
UGAGGAAUAUUGGACAAUGGGUGAGAGCCUGAUCCAGCCAUCCCGCGUGAAGGAAGAAGGAUCUAUGGUCUGUAAACUUCUUUUAUACAGGAAUAAACCUACCCACGUGUGGGUAGCUGAAGGUACUGUAUGAAUAAGCACCGGCUAACUCCGUGCCAGCAGCCGCGGUAAUACGGAGGGUGCAAGCGUUAUCCGGAUUCAUUGGGUUUAAAGGGUCCGUAGGUGGUUUAUUAAGUCAGUGGUGAAAUCCGACAGCUCAACUGUCGAACUGCCAUUGAUACUGAUAGACUUGAGUAAAUUUGAAGUAGCUAGAAUGUGUAGUGUAGCGGUGAAAUGCAUAGAUAUUACACAGAAUACCGAUUGCGAAGGCAGGUUACUAAGAUUUAACUGACACUGAUGGACGAAAGCGUGGGGAGCGAACA